Molecule: long non-coding RNA, 2221 nt
Organism: Myotis myotis
Lineage: Eukaryota; Metazoa; Chordata; Mammalia; Chiroptera; Vespertilionidae
Exons: 2
Source: RefSeq, a predicted model, not a curated record
GCGUCUAAUAAAGAAAAAGAAACCAUCAACUUAGGAUGCUUCUUCUUGCACAUUUUAAAACCCAAAUUUUAACUUCACUGUCAAUAACAUUUUUAGAGAAAACAUUUAAAGCUAAGCCCAUAGCAUAUAAAUAUACAUUUUAUUUAUCCUGUGAACAAACUCCAAUGAUUUCUUUUACAGCAAAAGAUACAUUUAAAACACGUGGAUAAUAGCAUGCUUCCCUGUUUCUUGCUCCCACUGGGAGAAUUUUGAAGAUGGGGACCAUACCUUAAAGUUAUAGCUCUAGAUCUUAUUUAGUAGACAAAUGUUUACUAAAUAAAGGAAUAGUUUUCAAAUGAUACUUAAUUUCCCAAACAAUCCAUAUGCUAAGUGCUAAGAUUAUUCAAAGAUAAUUAUGAUUAAAUAGAAUAUGUUUACUAUUUUCUUAAAAAUUCACUAAUAUUCCUUAAACCAGUAUUUAUUGAGGACUUACUAUGUGUAGGACACUAUACUAGGAAGGAGGGAAAUAGAAAUUAUAAUGUCAUUCCCUUCCUCCAGGCGCUUUGGGUCUGGGCUGGGAAGACAUUAAACAAUGAAGUAGGUGCUGGCCAGGGGUGGGCAAACUUUUUGACUCGAGGGCCACAAUGGGUUCUUAAACUGGACCGGAGGGCCGGAACAAAAGCAUGGAGUGUUUGUGUGAACUAAUAUAAAUUCAAAGUAAACAUCAUUACGUAAAAGGGUAGUUUUAUUCAUUUCAAACGGGCCGAAUCCGCCCGCUGGCCCUCAUUUGCCCACGGCUGUCUAGACCAAAGAAAUACACAAAGUCCUAUGGACACAAAAGAGGAAGAAAUCAUUUCCACCUGUAUGGGAUAGGUGGGCGUGAGGAGGUCAAAGAGAGAGAUGAAGAUGUGGCCUAGGUUUUUAAGCUACUUUUGAAGAUUAGGACAGAAAGGGAGAGAAAACACUAAGUAUUAUAAGCACAACACACUGGGAGAGUCUCUGGUAGGUAAUUAAGACCGGCCUUUAGGCUUCCAGGCAGGAGUGGUGAGAGGAGAGGGAGGCAGCCGAACCCCCUGAGUCCUACCACCGGGAGGGCAGAGUCGAGGAGUCAGCAUAAAGGAUUUUAAGUAGCAGAUCUGAUAUGACUGAUUUUGCUGUAAAAUAAACCUUAUUUUAUAAAUUAGAAGAAGGUAGAGAGGCCAAAUUAAGGCUGAGAGGUCAGUUUUAGGAGGUUACUUAAAUAAUGCAACAAGAAAAGAAAGUGGCCUGAGAAGGCCUUGGCAAUAGGACUACAGCUGAAUUCAGCUCAAUGUUUACUGGUCACCUCCCAUAUUAGACACGGGGAGAAAAGGUGAAAGGGAAAGAAGCUACCUAUAUCUGUGCUCUAAGAAGCCUAGAUCCCUGAGGUUCCAGCUAGAGCUGCUGUUUUACAAUCCUAGCACAUCAACAAAAAUUCUUAUUUUAAUUGAAAUCUAGAUGUUAGCCAAAAAAAGUAACAACCCUCAGGAACAUUGCCCAGAUUCAGGUAUACUCACCUGUUUGAUAGGUGCUUACCUGGUUUAAACAAACGUUUAAUUAUGUAUGUCUCACCUGCCCACUGCAAAACCUAUUUUACGUCUAAGGUAAUUUCUAAAGCAUAAUUUAAGUCCACACUUAAUAAAUUUUCUUGUAUACAGGUGAGGUUAUUAGAUAGCAACAUAUACUUAAUAUUUGAAACUGUUUAACAUAAGAAGUCAUACUCAAUACCCUGCCCUUAAAUCAAGUAGUUUCGCAUUUACACUUUCCUCCUUGUUUUAUUGAAUAUUUAAUUUUUACUUCCUAUGAACAUUUUAUUAACAUUUCCCAGAGCACCAGCAUCAACCCCAAACUUCUCUUUUCAUGUACAGCAAGCAAAACAAGAACUGGUGAAAAACACUCCGUGAGCAAAAUCCACUAAUAUCCAGCCACCUGACAGUAUCGGGCCAAGUAAAUACUCUUCUAGGUCAAAGGCUGGAUUCUGCCUCAAGGUUUUGCAGCCCCCGCGCUUGACUUGCGACCAGCGUCCUACCUCCGGGCUUAAGACGGCGGGCGAAGGAAGUGUCACCCGCCCGCCUGGGACUCCCCGGGACAUCGGACUUUCAGUGCUAAAAACGGGAAGUCCCCGCGAACCGAGCCCAGGGGAUGCUGCUGUAAAGUCUGCCAAAGGUUAUGCACUCACGGUAGCUAAUGAUGGCGUAACAUAAUAAAUGUGAAGUUAAAAGUC